ACUCCCAAACCCCUGUGAACAUACCUAUACGUUGCCUCGGCGGAUCAGCCCGCGCCCCGUAAAAAGGGACGGCCCGCCCGAGGACCCCUAAACUCUGUUUUUAGUGGAACUUCUGAGUAAAACAAACAAAUAAAUCAAAACUUUCAACAACGGAUCUCUUGGUUCUGGCAUCGAUGAAGAACGCAGCAAAAUGCGAUAAGUAAUGUGAAUUGCAGAAUUCAGUGAAUCAUCGAAUCUUUGAACGCACAUUGCGCCCGCCAGUAUUCUGGCGGGCAUGCCUGUUCGAGCGUCAUUUCAACCCUCAAGCUCAGCUUGGUGUUGGGACUCGCGGUAACCCGCGUUCCCCAAAUCGAUUGGCGGUCACGUCGAGCUUCCAUAGCGUAGUAAUCAUACACCUCGUUACUGGUAAUCGUCGCGGCCACGCCGUAAAACCCCAACUUCUGAAUGUUGACCUCGGAUCAGGUAGGAAUACCCGCUGAACUUAAGCAUAUCAAUAAGCGGA
Molecule: ribosomal RNA, 502 nt
Filed under: fungal sp.
Lineage: Eukaryota; Fungi
Description: eukaryotic LSU rRNA
Rfam family: 5.8S ribosomal RNA (bases 139-292)
Source: RNAcentral